RNAcentral lists this ribosomal RNA (459 nucleotides) under uncultured bacterium. RNAcentral describes it as "partial 16S ribosomal RNA". It matches the Rfam family "Bacterial small subunit ribosomal RNA", at positions 338 to 795 of the family's 1533-position model. The record is from RNAcentral.
CCUACGGGAGGCUGCAGUGAGGAAUAUUGGUCAAUGGCCGGGAGGCUGAACCAGCCAAGUCGCGUGAGGGAAGACGGCCCUACGGGUUGUAAACCUCUUUUGUCAGGGAGCAAGGUGCAGGUCGGGACCUGCUGUGAGAGUACCUGAAGAAAAAGCAUCGGCUAACUCCGUGCCAGCAGCCGCGGUAAUACGGAGGAUGCGAGCGUUAUCCGGAUUUAUUGGGUUUAAAGGGUGCGCAGGCGGAGGCACAAGUCAGCGGUAAAAUCGCGGGGCUCAACCCCGCUCCGCCGUUGAAACUGUGUGCCUUGAGUGCGCGAAGGGUAGGCGGAAUGCGUGGUGUAGCGGUGAAAUGCAUAGAUAUCACGCAGAACUCCGAGCGCGAAGGCAGCCUACCGGCGCGCAACUGACGCUCAUGCACGAAAGCGUGGGGAGCAAACAGGAUUAGAUACCCGUGUAGUC